CCACCCAGGCGCACCGAGCAUCUGAUUGCCCCCGCGUUGCCCUGUUUUUCCCUCACGGUUUUGUUCCGCGUCAGCCCCAUCCCCACCCGGCCACCCCACGACCCACCGAAGCGGUUUCUCCUCCCAGCUCGUGGUUAGUUUUCCCGACGCUGCUCCACCGGCCUGCUCGCGAUCUGUCCGCCCUUCCUCCCGGCGAUGACCCCGGGACUGGCACCGCCGGUGAAUCCCUGCGUACCCCCGCGGUCAAGGCGAUGCCCUCCCGUUCCCGUCGCUGCUCACUCCUCCCAUCGCCGGUUUUCCCGACGCCACUCCGCCGCCCAGCUCACGGUACGUCUGCUGUUCCUCCCAUCGCCGAUCCGGGGACUGGCGACGCCGGCCAGCUCCUGCAUGUCCCCGCAGCCAAGGCAAUGCCCUCUCUUUCCGACGCGGCUCACUCCUCCCGUUGUUGUUCCGUGAGACCGCUCAAUUCUCUGCAUCGGCGGCGACGGCAACAGAAGCGUUGGACGGACAGUAGGGAUCCAAUCUUCUCCGCGACAGCUUGAUAUUCCUCCCGUGUAGAUGCUCCAGCGAGUCAUGUGCCCCAUCGAGCUCCUCGCCCUGCGCAAGUUGCUCCUUGAUCUACCUCACCCUGAAUCCCCAAGGUGCGCAGAUCGAUCCAAGUAUGCCCUGCGAGCAUGUUUUCCAUUCUAAUUUCCUCUUUGCGAGCAGAUAAAAGAUUCUUGGAGAGGAGUAUCUUAACUAGUUCUAGUUUAUUUGGACCAUGGCGGAUGUGAUUUCUGGAUGGAUAUUGGUUGAGAUUUUUUUUUUCAAUCGGCUGCUGUUUUACUCCCUGCUUGGUGCGAUGGGGCCACCGCUGCCUGCUGGGAUGACUGGAUCUACCCUGGUGCCAACGACUAUUCGACAAUAUGCUGAAUGCCAAGACCUCCUUGCGAAACUGUCAGGUGAUGCUUGCCAGUGCUGGUUCAGUCUCGUUCCCCAUUGUCAUCAGUUUGUACUUCAGCUCCUGCAUAUUUUGUUCUGGCUCCUGCAUGAGAUGGGUCCAGGAAACUUCAGUCUUCUCUGCAUUUAUGUUUUUUGUUAAUAGUUCAAGUUAUGCAGUAAAGGUUAGAUCAGGGUGCCAAUUACAUGAUUUUCUUACAGAAAUACCUUUUGUUUCCUGAAAUCCUAUCAGUAUGUCUUCUUAGAUCGCACUGCACCUAUUAAACUUUGGGCAUAAUAUGCAGUAUCGAUCAAUCUAUACUUAUCUAUAUAUAGGUGUUGAUCGUUCAGAUUUGUGGUUUCUGAUUGUUACACUUUAUGGCAUGCUUAGUAGAACUUCUUGUGUGACAAAGAGGUGCUCAUAUGCUCAUAAAUCUUAUAUCUAAUGAACAUUGUUGUCCAUAUGCAUGCUUAUGUAUUCUCAACGGGUAUUAUAUUUGGACAACCUAUAUCAGACACUCUCCCAGAUGAUUGGAUUUCCACACUCCGUGUGAGAUUCUAUCAUAAGUCCCUGAUUGAGUGGCUAACAAAUGCGGACCGAAUUAGGUGCAGGGAUUGAACCGAUGCGUACAGUUUCCUACCAUUUAAGCUGGGCAAGCACUUAUCUCGCUGCAGCUGGCAGUGCACUGGAUGAAUUUUGCACAUGGACAUGAAGUGCAUCAGAGAAGUAUUAUCUACGGAUGUGGUGAGCGGGGGUAAGAAUGUGAAAAGCCAUCAAGGAGGUUGCCAAGUGAAAUGACAUGGCAUCUGCAAAGUCGUUCACAUAUCACAAAUCUGCUGGAGAGGGAUCACAUCUGAAAAUGAAUUGUUUUGUGCAGCAAGUUGGACACCAUGACUGCUUGCUAUAAAUUGCUCAUGCUGGAGUUGCUUGCUUGAUGGAGAUGGCGCGUGCACAGACUUUUUUUAGGGAGAAUAGAGCUUCGUGCACAGAUAUUCGUUUGCCAAUCUCAAACAAUCCUUUUCUGUACAUAAAUCAAUCAGCCGUAUGAGGGGCACCAGAACAUGGAGUACAAACGACGGAAUUAGUUUGCUUUGGAUCAUAAAUACUGAAUUUCACAACAUCGAUGAAUGACUGGAGCAUGUGCAUGCGAUAUUUGUGUUUUGGUGACUUUUUUUAAGAAAAAGGAAGAACGUUGGUAGCUA
This is a long non-coding RNA of Panicum virgatum (switchgrass), 2121 nucleotides long. RefSeq lists it as uncharacterized. The transcript has 4 exons. Lineage: Eukaryota; Viridiplantae; Streptophyta; Magnoliopsida; Poales; Poaceae. The record is from RefSeq and is a predicted model, not a curated record.